Clupea harengus (Atlantic herring) is the source of this 117-nucleotide long non-coding RNA. RefSeq lists it as uncharacterized. The record is from RefSeq and is a predicted model, not a curated record. NCBI's taxonomy places the organism in Eukaryota, Metazoa, Chordata, Actinopteri, Clupeiformes, Clupeidae. The transcript has 3 exons.
GGCAGGCCCAGAGUUCAACUGGCUGACCAAUGAUAAUACACGCGUUGCAGUGAUUGCUGCAGAUCACAAACAAUGUUCCACUUAUAUUUCCACAGGUCUACUGAAUGGAACACAUCA